CGCAGUUGUAAGAUUAUGAGAGGAUAACAACUUAACUAUCAGUCUCUUUCUCACAUAAAGCUGUGUAGGCUUAGUUUUAUUUAACUAUAAAACAUAUCUGCACUAAAAUACGAACUUUAAGGAGCAUGUAUAUUAAGUAGGCUACUUCAUCAUGUUUGGCAGUCGCCUGCCGUGGCUUUAUUAGGCGUGAGGGAGGAGAACGGGACGCUCGCCGGGACUCUGUGAUUGUUUAUCGGGCGUCAGCAGCACCCGUAUGUCAGGCACAUCCUACACUGAUUGAAAUGUCGUCAAACUGUUACUCCGGUGCUAUCUUCAUCUGGCCCUUGUUUGUCCUGUAAGCUGAAGGGUCACUCCUCCUGGCCCACCUGACAGGAGUCUAGUGUCACUGAAUGGGUAAACCCCUGCAGUUUUGCAUUCCAGUCAUAGUUCUGAAUGUAUGUUUGCCACCUUUCUCUUGGAAAAUGAGCUUCAGCAUGUCUGUUCCUGCCAGUGAUGAUGGUGGCAUGUCUCGCCAUCUGAUUGCAUGUGACGAUAUAAUAUGUAAAUAUGGUAGAUGUGUGCUGGUGAACGGGGAGCCCACCUGUGAGUGUAAGCUGGGCUACAUUGGAGACACCUGUAACGAAACAAUCAAUGACGCUCUGUCUGUACCGCGCACCCUCGGCGUCCUGGCUUUCAUCAUUGGCUUUAUCAUCCUGCUCUUUGGGCUGGCAUUUUUCCGGCAAAGACAUAAGGCAAAGAAGAGAAAAAAGGCAGCUGAAGAAGCCAUGUUAAGAAAUGGCUAAACAUAUUUAACAUGUUUUAAUGCAGCGUGCCAUAAAAUAGGUUUGUCAUUCUACAUCACUGACUCAAAUGAGCUCUAUUAUGGUCACAAUAAGAUACAGUAACUCACUCUGUUUCUCUCUCUCUCUUUGUUUCCCUCUUCAAACAGUACCAUCAACAUAUGAAGCACUUCCACUCCAAUUAAAAAAACUUUCCACCAUGACACUUAACUCACACUUCAAUGUGCAUGAACAUAUAUUCAUCUUAUGUAAUUGGGGUAUUGAAGUAGCUCUAACUGAAUUCAACAUUUAACUGAAAACUAUUGUGAAAUACAUGAAGUCCACAACACAUUUUAAUCUGGAAUCCAGAGCAUGAUUUGGGUUGGCGUACCUGCAGGGG
This 1158-nucleotide long non-coding RNA is filed under the name Sinocyclocheilus anshuiensis. RNAcentral describes it as "lncRNA (ENSSANG00000000961.1)". The record is from RNAcentral. Lineage: Eukaryota; Metazoa; Chordata; Actinopteri; Cypriniformes; Cyprinidae.